GGACCAUUGUUCAGUGGUGGAGCAUCUGCUUUGCAUGCAGAAGGUCCUAGGUUCAAUCCCCAGCAUCUCUA
Molecule: non-coding RNA, 71 nt
Organism: Podarcis lilfordi (Lilford's wall lizard)
Lineage: Eukaryota; Metazoa; Chordata; Lepidosauria; Squamata; Lacertidae
Source: the annotation of a GenBank genome assembly